AUACGGAGGAUGCGAGCGUUAUCCGGAUUUAUUGGGUUUAAAGGGUGCGUAGGCUGUGCGUUAAGUCAGGGGUGAAAUGCCGUCGCUCAACGACGGAGCUGCCCUUGAUACUGGCGUGCUGGAGUACGGAUGCCGUUGGAGGAAUGCGUGGUGUAGCGGUGAAAUGCAUAGAUAUCACGCAGAACUCCGAUUGCGAAGGCAGCUUACUAAGCUACAACUGACACUGAAGCACGAAAGCGUGGGGAUCAAACAGGAUUAGAUACCCUGGUAGUCCACGCAGUAAACGAUGAUUACUAGCUGUUUGCGAUACACAGUAAGCGGCACAGCGAAAGCGUUAAGUAAUCCACCUGGGGAGUACGCCGGCAACGGUGAAACUUAAAGGAAUUGACGGGG
RNAcentral lists this ribosomal RNA (393 nucleotides) under uncultured bacterium. RNAcentral describes it as "partial 16S ribosomal RNA". It matches the Rfam family "Bacterial small subunit ribosomal RNA", at positions 523 to 918 of the family's 1533-position model. The record is from RNAcentral.